UACGUAGGGAGCAAGCGUUGUCCGGAAUCAUUGGGCGUAAAGCGCGCGUAGGCGGCCUCUUAAGUCCGUUGUGAAAGUCAAAGGCUCAACCUUUGAAAGCCGAUGGAUACUGUGAGGCUAGAGUCCGGAAGAGGCGAGUGGAAUUCCUGGUGUAGCGGUGGAAUGCGCAGAUAUCAGGAGGAACACCAAUAGCGAAGGCAGCUCGCUGGGACGGUACUGACGCUAAGGCGCGAAAGCGUGGGGAGCGAACAGG
RNAcentral lists this ribosomal RNA (253 nucleotides) under uncultured bacterium. RNAcentral describes it as "partial 16S ribosomal RNA". It matches the Rfam family "Bacterial small subunit ribosomal RNA", at positions 524 to 776 of the family's 1533-position model. The record is from RNAcentral.